GCCGGCUUAGCUCAGUUGGUAGAGCAGCAGUUUUGUAAACUGACGGUCACGGGUUCAAGUCCUGUAGCCGGCACCA
Molecule: transfer RNA, 76 nt
Filed under: Azospirillum sp. TSO22-1
Lineage: Bacteria; Pseudomonadati; Pseudomonadota; Alphaproteobacteria; Rhodospirillales; Azospirillaceae
Description: tRNA-Thr
Rfam family: tRNA
About the family: Transfer RNA (tRNA) molecules are approximately 80 nucleotides in length. Their secondary structure includes four short double-helical elements and three loops (D, anti-codon, and T loops). Further hydrogen bonds mediate the characteristic L-shaped molecular structure. tRNAs have two regions of fundamental functional importance: the anti-codon, which is responsible for specific mRNA codon recognition, and the 3' end, to which the tRNAs corresponding amino acid is attached (by aminoacyl-tRNA synthetases). tRNAs cope with the degeneracy of the genetic code in two manners: having more than one tRNA (with a specific anti-codon) for a particular amino acid; and 'wobble' base-pairing, i.e. permitting non-standard base-pairing at the 3rd anti-codon position.
Source: RNAcentral